UGAGGAACAAAAAGAAGGGGAUGAAUCUUGAGGAAGAGCUUGGCUAAGAACAAGGUGAUAUCUCUCUCUCUCUCCAUCCCUCUCAAUUUAAAUCCAGUUUCAUGUUCUUUCCUCCCCAGUUUUUGAUUUAUUGUUUUUUUAAACAUAUGUGUGCAGAUCUGAGGAACAAAAAUAAGGGGAUGAAUCUUGAGGAAGAGCUUGGAUAAGAACAAGGUGAUCUCUCUCUCUCUCUCUCUCUCUGAAUUUAAGUCCAGUUUCAUCGUUCUUUAUUGAUGCUAUUUCUCGUGGGAUAUUCAGGAGUUGAGAACAUAUAUUUUGUAGGUGUUCGUAAUGGCAACGGUUGUAAUCAACGAUGAGAAAAAGGGGCUGAGAUUGGAUUUGUACUAGGCAUGUUCCUCAUCUCUCUCAGUCCUUGUUCCUAUCCCCACCCUGAUGUAACUGUUUCUUCACAACUGUUGGAUGUGUCUUAGGAGAUAAAUGCCAUGAAUUGUUUAGAUUCUUGUUGAGCUAACCACUAACAAAUUGUUUGUCCCCUUGUUAAAGCUAAUCAUAGUAAUAUCUGGUAAUCGUCCCAGUCAAAAAAAAAUAUCUGGUAAUCGUCCGGCUGAUGUGUAUGGUGGCAACCAAAUUCAUGUUGAUGAACUGAAUCAAAUCUGUAGUAAAGUUAGUGUUAAAUCACACAUGUGUACAUUCAGGUUCAAUACACUCGAGCAGUUUUGUCACAUCUGUGGAUUUAGUAUGACAAGAAAAUUACUUGGAAACCCUCUUCUUCAUGUCCAGCGGCCGACGCAGCUCUCGUGCCCUCCCAGCGCUGCCGGUCGGGAGCUUCUCCAUCCUACGCCGCUGCCUCGUAUCGGCUAUGCGAAGGAGGGCGGCGAGCAGCAGGAGCUCACCGCGUGCGUGGAGUUGUGUGGACUCCCUGCACCGCAGCUGCCUCUUUGCCAUUGCUGCGAUGCCUCACCGGCCAUGGAUCUGCUGCAGAUGGAGAGCCAACGGGGCCGCCGCCGAUGGGAAGUGCGAAUAGAGAAAGGAUGUGGUCGUCGCCAUCGCAAGAAGGUUUGCCCCCUGACAGACCGUGCACUGUUGUCGCGGGUGCUGCAGCAGUCUUGCUCCUUCCUGGAGCCUUCCUCCUCUCACACCGCCUCUUUGGCGACCCCUGUAGGUUCAUGGUUUUACUCCUGGAGUGGUGUAUUCCUUGAUGAUAUGUUGAUGCGGUCCGCUUGGUGUUCUUGUUUGCUGUUCUUACUUGACAAUAGAGAAAAGAAAUAUCAUCUUUGAAAUGCUUGGAAUCGAUAGAUCAUUCAUGCCGUGGUUGGAUGCAAAUUAAGAACUAUUGGUAUAAGUUUUGUUUUCUUGGUCGGACUUUGUUCAUUUGAUUGUCUUAGUGCAGUCACACGUGCACACUUUUUGCAGGCAUCAGUGAAGAUUUGGGCAGUAGCUAGGGAGGGAUUGCUGGAGUGGAAACAUGGCAAGAACCGGAAAGAGCUCAAGAUUUUGCUACUACCUUGCUAAUAAAUUUGUGAGGUAAUUCAGCUAGCUACAUGUGUGUUUGUUUCUGCUAUACCAAGGUCAUUAUUCUGAUUUAGAAAAUAGAAACAUGAAUUCUGAUUUAAGAGUCUAAUAGCAAAUGUUGGUAGCAUUAAUAGAAUGUGCAUUGUACGCACAAGCUAAUAGUAGAGUUUAAUUCUUCUCAAGUAGCGGUUGUUGAUGUAGACUUGAACUAAUUAAUAAGGCAGGUAUCAAGUAGUGAUAUCGUCCACAAUCGAUGGACGACUAAUAUUCUUGAGCAGGCUCACAGAGCGAGAGACGAACCUGGGCUGACCGGGACCCUUCUAAAACUGUUGUACGUGGGCAAAUUAACCGAGUUUUAGCUGGGAGAGUUAAUGGGAAAGCACGAGUAUAUCUAUGAUUCUGAUCUGUAUAAAAGAACUACAUAGGAUCAUUUUUGUUCUUAUUUUUAAGACAUGCAUGAUCAUCCUAGGCAUUUUGCUGACAAAUAAAAACCUGAAACUAAUUUCUAUUUAACAUAAACUCUAAUAUCUAUACUAUGCAGACAUUUUAGACAUGUAUAUUGGCUCACCAACAAUUUGUUUUCUGUUGAAAUGAAUGGUAAUACUUGAUUUUAAAUUUCCUAAAUCUUUAUUAUUCUUCUGUUGCAAUAUAAUAUAACGAGGCAUGGUCAGCAGGAAACCUAAUUCUCCGUGAACAUGCGCAAAAGAGUCAACUUUUAGUUCUUUUAGAAUUUUUGUUCUUUCCUUAGAGUUCAUGAGAAUUAUUUGUAGACGGUGUUGUGAUGCCCCAGUACUUGUGUGAUGAUAUUCUUCUGACUCUUGCAAUGUCCUAUGCUGACAAAUACAAAUGCUCUGCUCUAUUUGAUGCUAUAAUUGUUCAUUUUGAAUCCAUUGCCUCUUUGUAAUGGUAAACCAGAGUCCCUUGACAGUUCGUUGGUCAUCUUCUUCUCAUGACAGAACUGGCAAGAUGUCAUGAUGGAACAAUAUCUUUUCUGCAUGUAGUAAAUUAUUUUCUUAUUAGUUUAGAUCCGUUAACUGCACUAUAUUUUUAGGAGGUGUCACACUAAGAAUUUCAUAGUUGGAUUUUGAUGUUCCAGGUUGCUUUAUGGAAGUAUUUACAGGCUUGCCAUGACAAGGUAUUUUAUUAGUUUGUUAUCUCCCUUUCCAUAGACUUUUUACAUUCUACUCUGGUUAUUAAGUACGUAUACAUAUAAAGUGUGCUCUAUUGCUUAACUAAAUUCUGGACUUCAGGUAUACUACCUGACAAUGCACCCCGUGUUGAUAAAAAUAAUAUUGGGAUGCACCACAUACUGAUUCACAAAGUUUAGGUCUGUUUCCUUGGAGAUUCACAAACAAGUGAUGUAGAAUUGGAAAAUAGUGAUGUAGAAUUGAUCCGAAUUUUAAACAGACCUGCCCCUGAAUUUUAAACAGACCUGCACCUGGGUUUUUAACUGCCUUUUCUGUAUCUUAUUAUUUUACAGGAAUGCAUCAAUAAUCUUGGUAUAAAAUUUAUUUGGAUGGUUCAGAACCUUCAGAUGGCAUGGCUGAGAUAUAGUUUGUUGUAUUCAGUUUUUUUUUCAUCGUCACAGGUUUGCAAAUUUUGGUUCUACUGCCAGUGCAUACUUUAUGUUUCCAUUUCCAUCAAUUCAUCUUGUAGAAUAUCUGUGACCCUCGACGUUGGUUUGGAAGUUCGGUUCAGUCAUAGCCUAAUUUUUGGGUCUUCGCAAAAAAAGGCCUAAUUUUUGGGAUUUAGUAAUUGCGGCCUGUUGUUAGUAUGCGAGUGUACAUACAAACGAUUAGCACUAUAUUUACUUUGAUUUAUUUGUUGUGAUUAAGAGCAGAAGCUCUACUCAUCUAGGACGAGGUCUAUGACAAGGAAAGUUAAUGUAAAAAAUCAAAAUUGUGUGUUUGUGUGGUUAAUACUCACUUCAUUUUGAUAUAUUUGUCUUCUAAUAACCCACCGUGCACAGGACAGACCAUGCAAGCAUCAACUUAUCAAGAAAUGACUUAUUAACCUAUUAAAAGACCAUACCGGAACCACCUAUGGCAUAACCUUUUCAAAACAUUUAAGUAGGGGUGGGCAAUAGAAGCGUUGUAGUAACUGCUCGCUUGUUGAACGGACAAACAUUUUGACGAUGACUCUUGCUUUCAUGGAUAUACAGAGAUAAAUGGAUGGAUGUUGCAAAUACAGUAGAAAUCAUGGGUGCAACAAUUUUUAUGUCCAUGUUUUUCUUUUUGUCUGAUUGUGUAUGUAUACUGGUUACAGGGCACUAUUUGCGUAGAAUUUACUUGACCUGUAGGAACUGGCUCUACUAUCUAGCUUUUAAAUGUAAUAAAUCUAGAAGGCAAUGGAGCAUUACUGUCUUUCCCUCUUUCUACAUAAGCAAGAAAGUUGUGACUUGGAUUCUGGACAUGAAUCUUCUUAACCUGUUGAAGCAAAAAACUAUAGAUGCAGAGUCCAAUUAGUUGUCCUUUGUGCAUACACAAGAAAGUGGAAUUUGGAGUCUGAACAUGAAUCCUUGAGACUGAUGGCCAGAAACAGAACACAACAUGAUGACCUUGAGUGAGACCCUUCUUCACAUGUGACUGCUCUCUUUUGGAAUACCAGCCAUGCGUGACAUGUUUAGUAGAACAGAUUGUGUCGUACGUCUGGUAGUUGUUGUUGCCUAUACAGAGUGUGAUGAUCUGAGGGUGUGAACUAUUUUUUGUGCAAAAUACUUGUUAUAUAAACUAUAUGGAUGGAGUUACGGGACAUUAAGAAAAGAUAUGAGAAAGAAUAUAGAGUGUGAAAUUUUCUAUAUAAAUUACUUGUUAUAUAAAAGUUGAAUCUCACGGUCCAACUUUUUAGAACUAUGCCACAACUUUUAUGAGGCCAUAAGUUUUUCUUUUGAAAUCUGCAGGUUAUAUGAUUUGUACAUGGCGGUGUUACUGAACAGAAGGAGGUAAUUUCUUCGCUCUUUCUAUUGAUUAAUAUUGUUCUUCACUCUUUCUAAACUAUUGAAUUUAUUAAUAUUAUUCUUGCACAAAUUAAUUAAUGAUUAUAUCAUCUUUUGGUCACUCGAGUAAGAUAGAACAUGAUGAUCCUCUCUUAAUUUGGUUUCUCCUCCGCUGAAGAAUAUAGGAAUCACCAGCAGCCCUUCUCGUGAGCACCAUGUCUAUGAACUCAUCUCCAUGCUUACUAUCCUUCUAUAAACUGGGGGUAUCCAUGUGUUGCUAAUAAGGCAUUUUCCAUUCUUUGUUUUUCAAUUCUGUAUCAGUAGUUCCGAGGAAGUGCUCAACCUAGACGUUGUUGGCCGAAGGAGGGGCGGAGCAGGUGCCAGUCAAGUAGGCGGCUCAAUGGGUGGGAGAUGGCAGCUGCCGAUCUCACACGGCUCAUGCGCCCCGCGACCCUCCCCUCCCCGGCUAAGUAGGAGGUUCGAGGGCAGCGACUAAGGAAGGAGCACAUCGGCGAUGAGGGCUAGCAAUAGCAAGACAAUUGCCAGGUGCAGUCGAUAUGCCGCCACGUCGGCCCUUCACGCGCGCCCGCCAGGGUCGGGACCUUUUUCAGAGCAAUGCGUAGUGUUUCCUUUAUUGUUGUUGUUUGUGAUGUCCUUGAUAUUCCUUUGCCAUAUGAUUUUUGAUCAUUUUCUCGCUCAUUCCUAGAGGAGCGCUAUGGAUAAUAUGAUUGAGAUGACUAAGAUACAUGCUUUUUGUUUACUUGGCAUCUCCUUCUCUUAAUUUUUCUACAACCCUUCCUUUACAUGCUGGUAUGUUUUGUUGCCAGGCUCAGAUCGGCGAGACCCGUGCCAAUGCACGAGGUACAAUAUUGGUUAAUUUUCCAUCUCCAAUCAGAUUAAUGGUUUGCAUGCAGACCAAGCCCAGUGUUUUAUGGUGUUCUUAUUCCUGAUUUAGUUGUACAUUUGACUUUUAGUUUCUUCAUAGAUAAUAAAGUAGUGGCAGAUGAACCAGUAAGUUAUCUGUGCCCAUUCUUUGCUGUAAGCAUUAAAUUUGAUCUCUGCUUUUACUUUCAAUGUGUUAUCCGUACCCCUAUUUUUUGUGGCUAAUUAUUAUGGUGUUCUUAUUCCUGAUUUAGUUGUACAUUUGACUUUUAGUUUCUUCAUAGAUAAUAAAGUAGUGGCAGAUGAACCAAUAAGUUAUCUGUGCCCAUUCUUUGUUGUAAGCAUUAAAUUUGCUCUCUGCUUUUACUUUCAAUGUGUUAUCCGUACCCCUGUUUUUUGUGGCUAAUUAUUAUGUCCUAUCAACAUAUGCAGAGUCCAUGGUAUCAUACGAUUUGAAGUUGAAAAAAUCAUGCUAUGGGUGAUACGGAAAAGUCAUUGCCUUCUUUGCUGGAACAUUUCCUAAGAUGAUCUAAGGUAAUUAUUUUAGUCACCAUGUCAUUUAUAUGCUAAAUUCAGUGCGUUGACAACUAGAGAUCGCUUCCUUUUUUGUGUAUUGAUCAUUUCAGUACGAUUGUUUGAUACACUGCCGACAUCAUUUUGCUUUCUUCUUGCUUGUUAUUUCAUUUAUUUCCUCCAGCAAGUGGAUGGCUAUUUCCACUGCUUCAAGUGUUGUUUUGGCUCUAAUUGUGUGUAUGGCAUCUUGGCCUUCUUAGGUGAAGCAUUUAUGAAUAUCCUCGCUGAUCUAUGGAUCUAUCAUUGUAAGAGUCGAUAAUAUAUGGUGAGCUGCCUCACACCAUCAUUUGGUCUUUGUGGCAUUUGAGUUGGCAAAUUUGUUGGAUUCAUGCGAUUAGGCAUGGUAAGUGCUCAGAGACCUCAUAGCUCUAUAAAUUUUGCUUCCAAAAGUUCUGAAUCUUUUCUGUGCUUGGUCCUCUCAUUGGUGAGAGUAGCCAUGUAAAUCAAUCUGCAAUGGGAAAUGGGAGUUUGCAAACUACCGGAGUCUAAUUGCUGAGGGACGAGGUUCGUAACUGAGGGUCAUGUGCAGAGCUGGAGGAAGAAGUUGCGAGGCUUGGAACUCUCCUUGUGAAGGGCUCAGGGACAACAGUGAGGACAAUGCCUCUUUAGUUGUAGUUGUGAUACUCCUGAUGUGCAAGUAAACAUUCCUGUGAUACUGCUUAUGCUAAAAUGUUGGUUGUUAGUACAGAGGUGGUGACAUUAUUUGGUUCUCUGAUAUUGAUUUCAUGAUUUGUAAUAUAAUCCACAUUGCAUUAUCUUUCCAGUAACAUCUCCUACUUAUGCACUACUAACAUUCUUUCUAAUUCGGUUCUUGCGCCAUUGGCGCAACCGGGUCAUCUAGU
Molecule: long non-coding RNA, 6744 nt
Filed under: Triticum aestivum (bread wheat)
Lineage: Eukaryota; Viridiplantae; Streptophyta; Magnoliopsida; Poales; Poaceae
Description: long non-coding RNA (TAES_LNC020115)
Source: RNAcentral